RNAcentral lists this ribosomal RNA (468 nucleotides) under uncultured bacterium. RNAcentral describes it as "partial 16S ribosomal RNA". It matches the Rfam family "Bacterial small subunit ribosomal RNA", at positions 28 to 507 of the family's 1533-position model. The record is from RNAcentral.
GACGAACGCUGGCGGCGUGCUUAACACAUGCAAGUCGAACGGAAAGGCCCUGCUUUUGUGGGGUGCUCUAGUGGCGAACUGGUGAGUAACACGUGAGUAACCUGCCCUUGCCUUUGGGAUAACUUCAUGCAACUUGGGCUCAUACCGGAUAGGAGCUCCUGCUGCAUGGUGGGGGUUGGAUAGUUUCGGCGGUUGGGGAUGGACUCGCGGCUUAUCAGCUUGUUGGUGGGGUAGUGGCUUACCAAGGCUUUGACGGGUAGCCGGCCUGAGAGGGUGACCGGCCACAUUGGGACUGAGAUACGGCACAGACUACUACGGGAGGCAGCAGUGGGGAAUAUUGCACAAUGGGAGGAAGCCUGAUGCAGCAAAGCAGCGUGCGGGAUGACGGCCUUCGGGUUGUAAACCGAUUUCGCCUGUGACGAAGCGUGAGUGACGGUAAUGGGUAAAGAAGCACCGGCUAACUACGUG